UACGUAGGGUGCAAGCGUUAAUCGGAAUUACUGGGCGUAAAGCGUGCGCAGGCGGUUUUGUAAGCCAGAUGUGAAAUCCCCGGGCUCAACCUGGGAAUGGCAUUUGGGACUGCAAGGCUCGAGUGCGGCAGAGGAGACUGGAAUUCCUGGUGUAGCAGUGAAAUGCGUAGAUAUCAGGAGGAACACCGAUGGCGAAGGCAGGUCUCUGGGCUGACACUGACGCUCAUGCACGAAAGCGUGGGGAGCAAACAGG
Molecule: ribosomal RNA, 253 nt
Filed under: uncultured bacterium
Lineage: Bacteria
Description: partial 16S ribosomal RNA
Rfam family: Bacterial small subunit ribosomal RNA
Source: RNAcentral